This 77-nucleotide transfer RNA is filed under the name Ixodes scapularis (black-legged tick). RNAcentral's name for it is "tRNA-Undet for anticodon ???". The record is from RNAcentral. Lineage: Eukaryota; Metazoa; Arthropoda; Arachnida; Ixodida; Ixodidae.
GCCUGGUUAGCUCAGGUGAUACAGCGCUCUACUGGCUGGAAAUGGAGAGGUACCUGGUUCGAUACCAGGACCAGGCG